This 580-nucleotide ribosomal RNA is filed under the name Poralia rufescens. RNAcentral's name for it is "partial 16S large subunit ribosomal RNA". It matches the Rfam family "Bacterial large subunit ribosomal RNA", at positions 1833 to 2574 of the family's 2925-position model. The record is from RNAcentral. Lineage: Eukaryota; Metazoa; Cnidaria; Scyphozoa; Semaeostomeae; Ulmaridae.
GCCCCAUGAAAUCUAUGUGGGGUGCAACCUGCUCAAUGGCUGCUAAUAAUCUAAUAAAAACAGUUAAAUAGCCGCGGUAACUCUGACCGUGAUAAAGUAGCAUAAUCACUCGUCACUUAAUUAGUGACUGGAAUGAAUGGUUAAACGAAUCUCCAACUGUCUCUGAAGAAAUCUUGAUAAAUUUGAAUUGAUAGUGAAGAUGCUAUCUAAAGACUGUAAGACGAAAAGACCCUAUCGAGCUUUACUGACAGCUUAUAUUUAACACAACAAUAAGUUAAUUAUAGUACCUACCUUGUAAGCCUACCAGUUUGGUUGGGGCGACCACCUCUAAAAACGUAUCAGAGGAAUUCUUAAGGUUUAUAAAAAUGUAACAAGCCUUACUGGAAACUUACCAAUUAAUCAGUUACUAACAAGUAGGACAUAAUGACCCGUUUAUUAAAUUACUUCAAUAAACGACAAUGAAAAAAGUUACCGUAGGGAUAACAGGGUAAUAUUUUCAAAGAGUUCAUAUCGAUGAAAAUGUUUGCCACCUCGAUGUUGAAUUGUGGUAUCCUGGAGGUGCAGCAGCUUCCAAGGGUUG